Molecule: long non-coding RNA, 235 nt
Filed under: Capsicum annuum
Lineage: Eukaryota; Viridiplantae; Streptophyta; Magnoliopsida; Solanales; Solanaceae
Description: long non-coding RNA (CANN_LNC018952)
Source: RNAcentral
UCAUAUACUCAGUACAUUCAGUCGUACUGACGCAUUCGUGCUAUGGUGUUUAUUUAACACCAUAGGUACAGAGGCACGAGUUUCAGAGCAGUAAUAGCAUUAUAGAUUUCAGCAGUCAGUGCUCCUCUUUAUUCGAGGACAAUAUUAUUAUUACUUUAUUACAGUAUUUCAGAUUAGUUUUUUAGUUCAUGGAGUUAGUUGGAGACAUAUUCCUUCAACUCCUUAUUCAGUUCAG